AAGGGAGGCCAGUGCCAGAGAUUGGUUGCCAUUGUUCUAGCAAACUAGUCCCCAGGAAUUCAAUUAAUCUGGAACUUCACAAUGAACAGAUGGCAGUGAAAUGCUACUUCUCUUCAGUAACAAAGUCCAGCUUUCCCUUUCCAAUUCUACCAAUGCUAUGAAGAGCAAUACAGAUUCCAAGGGUUUUCAAGUUGUUGGGAUCACCUUCAACUAGUGUCACUGCUUUGGUUUGUGAGAAGAUUCCUGCACAUUCAACAUGCACUUCAAGCAUUACAGUGCAUUUGGACGCAGCAUUUUACUUGAAUCGUGACUGAACAAGGAUAUAAGUCAUAGGAUAAAAAUUUGAAGGUAGAUGCAUGAACUGCUGCAAGGAAUCCUACAAAAUUGCCAAAAGGUGGCUGGAAGUUGUCGAUAUCAAUGAUGACUGCAAACCCAAAAAUCUAAGAACAGAAUCUACGGCAGUAUUAAUUUGGAUCCUGGCAUCUAUUGUAAGCAACAGAGAAAUGAAAGGAGGUUAAAGAAAGGC
Crotalus tigris (Tiger rattlesnake) is the source of this 526-nucleotide long non-coding RNA. RefSeq lists it as uncharacterized. The record is from RefSeq and is a predicted model, not a curated record. The transcript has 5 exons. Lineage: Eukaryota; Metazoa; Chordata; Lepidosauria; Squamata; Viperidae.